RNAcentral lists this ribosomal RNA (301 nucleotides) under uncultured bacterium. Its description in RNAcentral is "partial 16S ribosomal RNA". It matches the Rfam family "Bacterial small subunit ribosomal RNA", at positions 509 to 807 of the family's 1533-position model. The record is from RNAcentral.
CAGCAGCCACGGGAAUACAGAGGGUGCAAGCGUUAAUCGGAUUUACUGGGCGUAAAGGGCGCGUAGGUGGUUAUGUAAGUGAGAUGUGAAAUCCCCGGGCUCAACCUGGGAACUGCAUCUUAUACUGCGUAGCUGGAGUGCAGUAGAGGGUAGUGGAAUUUCCGGUGUAGCAGUGAAAUGCGUAGAUAUUGGAAGGAACACCAGUGGCGAAGGCGGCUACCUGGACUGACACUGACACUGAGGCGCGAAAGCGUGGGGAGCAAACAGGAUUAGAGACCCGAGUAGUCCCUGUCUCUUAUAC